GCUGAGAAAUAUGCAGGGGGGGGAGGGGGGUGCAAGUUUACUAUUUGUGAAAGAGACAGACGUAGAAUUGAUAACAAAUACUACAGCAACUGAUUCAUUCGCGGGAGGCCUGUCUUCUGCAACCCUCGGAGGAUCCAGCUUGUUCUUUCACCCCAGAGGUAUCCGACUCCUACCACGUCCUCCAUCUCUAAUCAUCUCCAGAGGAUGGCCAGGGAGUAGGAGGAGCAGAAGGUCUCCUCACAGAAGGCGCUGGCCCUGCUGGAGGCCAGCCGGAGGUCCACGGUGUCCCGGUGCAGCCGCCUCCUUCAGGUACAGCCACCUACAGGUACAGCCACCUACUAACCAAUGGCAUAUUUUCACUGGAGCCAAUCAGGUUUAAGUAAUCCAACAACUGGAGCCCGGCAACAACAAA
This is a long non-coding RNA of Brienomyrus brachyistius, 412 nucleotides long. RefSeq lists it as uncharacterized. NCBI's taxonomy places the organism in Eukaryota, Metazoa, Chordata, Actinopteri, Osteoglossiformes, Mormyridae. The transcript has 3 exons. The record is from RefSeq and is a predicted model, not a curated record.